Long non-coding RNA from Gasterosteus aculeatus aculeatus (three-spined stickleback), 1785 nucleotides. Lineage: Eukaryota; Metazoa; Chordata; Actinopteri; Perciformes; Gasterosteidae. The record is from Ensembl.
GUUGUUGUCAAGCUAGCAAACAAAGCUACAGGGCUGCCAACUCUCACGGUUUCCCCGUGUGACACGCGUGUUUCCAUGUUUUCACACGCACUCACGCCACACAUCCAAUUUAUUACGCAAAAAAAACAAAACUGCGCUGGUUCAUCUAAACGGCGCAUCUAUAACCCGAUUCGCUGCACGUAGCGUAACUUACACCCCCCGUCAGCCGUAGCUUCACCGCCAACGUCUCACUCCAAGGUUUAGUGAAAAGUAUCCCUAUAACAUUACAAAGAAGCCGACUCGAGAGCACUUAAUACUAGCAUCAAUAUGCUAGUGUUUUAUAACAAGCUUGCUAACAUUGCUAACGAGAUGUCUGCUAGCGGCUAAACUUACUUUGUUUAUGACAAACUAGCAAGUCAACAAUUUUCCAAACAAAGUCAAACAUCAAGCAAGCGCAACACAAGACAAAGCAGAGGUCUAUGGGGCGCCGUUUGUAAAAUGUUGCACGUCCUAAAAUCCUGCACAGUUUUUCCACAUUUAGCAUUAUAUAAACGAAAAAACACGACAAUAUUCACAUGUCACUUUUUCAAACAUUUAGAGAGAAAUUCAUUUAGAUUCAUGCAAUAACUUUUCCAAGGAUAAUGUUUGGCAGUAACAAAGUUGUUAAAUAAUAUAAAUGUUAAAUCUAAAUGUAAAUCUAAAUGUUUAAUCUAAAUGUAAAUGUUAAAUAGGGAGCCGCCGUAGUUAUUUUAUCACAAAAUGACACAGCAGGAAUACGUGUAAUGUCUACACUGUUAUUAUAGUUGUGUAUGUUUGUACUGCACAAUUAUUUUGUGAGAAAAGAACACAUGUGUGGAUCAGAAAGAAAAUGUUACCAGAUAUUUUACGCUUGGAGUUGAUGUCAACCCCCAAAGUUGAGUCCCGCAGAGCUCUUUCCACGCUGCACCAUCUUUGGCCACCAGACGGCAUCCGGCCCCCACUAACGCGCCAACGGACCAACACAACCCACAGUAACGUUUAACAGUAAUCAGAGACGUCGUGCUGGUGGCGCAGUGGGACACGCCGACGUUGUCUUCGUGUGAUUGAUCAUUGUGUUCUGUUGUUAUCAUUACUGGCAUGUUAGGGGAUUUCUGCCUCGACUUUCCCUUUGCUAAAUGUCCCCGUUUGUUGCCGGUGUUCAAUGAAUAGAUCAUUCUUCAUAACGGUAAAUGGGAGAUAAUAAACAAACAUGGACAACCCUAUUGGGCUCCAAGACCGAAGCCUGAAUGCUAUUCAUUUACUUUUCAUUUACUACCCUUGCUUCCUUGUUGAAUCCUCCCUCAGGCGGAAACAAAACCAUUCAAACCGUCCCCAGAUUGUUUUAGUCUAGACUUCCUUUUGAAAAUACACAAUUCAACUUCUGAAAAGGCGCACAGACGUGGGUCCGCGCGGUCCAGCCCUGUUGGCACCUCGCUCCCUUCAAAUCCACCCGUCUACUUUUAGACACGAGGGGCUCGGAUCCCUGGCAGGCGUCCCCCCUUCACAGCCACCAGGUAAAUGUGGCGGUCAGUUGGCGGGACACCGGUGCCACAGAGGGCCUGUUGACACGGUCAGUCGGUGGGAGACAAGCCAGAGAAUGUGAGAGAGCCUCUAAAGUCACUUGGUCCUGUCUUCCUGGUGUGGACAGAAGGCAGGCAGGGCUCAGUUGAACAAGCAGAUGUUUUACACUGAGGCCGUUACCCUCAUUUCCUGGGCGGAGAGAGCUGCUCGCUCUGUCAGACGAGUAACAGGAACCUGAAAAAAAGAGAAAAAGUUAGAGAGAGAGAG